UUCCAGACUCCUACGGGAGGCAGCAGUGAGGAAUAUUGGUCAAUGGGCGGGAGCCUGAACCAGCCAAGUCGCGUGAGGGAAGACGGUCCUACGGAUUGUAAACCUCUUUUGCCGGGGAGCAACGGGGUCCUUGCGAGGGCCCGAUGAGAGUACCCGGAGAAAAAGCAUCGGCUAACUCCGUGCCAGCAGCCGCGGUAAUACGGAGGAUGCGAGCGUUAUCCGGAUUUAUUGGGUUUAAAGGGUGCGUAGGCGGACUCUUAAGUCAGCGGUAAAAUUGCGGGGCUCAACCUCGUCGAGCCGUUGAAACUGGGUGCCUUGAGUGGGCGAGAAGUACGCGGAAUGCGUGGUGUAGCGGUGAAAUGCAUAGAUAUCACGCAGAACUCCGAUUGCGAAGGCAGCAUACCGGCGCGCAACUGACGCUCAUGCACGGAAGCGUGGGUAUCGAACAGGAUUAGAUACCCCAGUAC
Molecule: ribosomal RNA, 467 nt
Filed under: uncultured bacterium
Lineage: Bacteria
Description: bacterial SSU rRNA
Rfam family: Bacterial small subunit ribosomal RNA
Source: RNAcentral